GUGGGGAAUUUUGGACAAUGGGCGAAAGCCUGAUCCAGCCAUUCCGCGUGCAGGAUGAAGGCCCUCGGGUUGUAAACUGCUUUUGUACGGAACGAAAAGCCUUCUUCUAAUACAGGAGGGUCAUGACGGUACCGUAAGAAUAAGCACCGGCUAACUACGUGCCAGCAGCCGCGGUAAUACGUAGGGUGCAAGCGUUAAUCGGAAUUACUGGGCGUAAAGCGUGCGCAGGCGGUUAUGUAAGACAGUUGUGAAAUCCCCGGGCUCAACCUGGGAACUGCAUCUGUGACUGCAUAGCUAGAGUACGGUAGAGGGGGAUGGAAUUCCGCGUGUAGCAGUGAAAUGCGUAGAUAUGCGGAGGAACACCGAUGGCGAAGGCAAUCCCCUGGACCUGUACUGACGCUCAUGCACGAAAGCGUGGGGAGCAAACAGGAUUAGAAACCCUAGUAGUCC
This 450-nucleotide ribosomal RNA is filed under the name uncultured bacterium. Its description in RNAcentral is "bacterial SSU rRNA". It matches the Rfam family "Bacterial small subunit ribosomal RNA", at positions 354 to 796 of the family's 1533-position model. The record is from RNAcentral.